Anthonomus grandis grandis is the source of this 1707-nucleotide long non-coding RNA. RefSeq lists it as uncharacterized. The record is from RefSeq and is a predicted model, not a curated record. NCBI's taxonomy places the organism in Eukaryota, Metazoa, Arthropoda, Insecta, Coleoptera, Curculionidae. The transcript is spliced from 2 exons.
AGAAAAUCCUUUAUAAUUUUUAAAAUUUUGCAUUUUUUUCAUCCUCACUUUUUUAUUAAUAAAAUGUUCAAACUCAACAUUCUAUGUAAAAAUUUAAAAAAAAUCGGUUUUUAGACGUCCCUUUAACUUUACCGGACCCCAAUACAAAAUGAAUACAGAAAAUGAUCGUUCAAUCUGGCAGACCGCUAGAAGACUACCACUAUCCAAGAAAAAGGAGCCAAGGAGGCAUCAUAGAACCACUUAGCAGUUCUUGGUCUUCAGGGUUGCUAGUGGUAGAAAGAUAGCUCCUCUAGAUUCUGCGUCGCUGCUAGUUUAAUAACGUGACCAAAAAGAUUGCCAUUGUCCUCUUUUUUUGCAUUUAUGACUCUUCAAACAACCUGACUGCAUCAAAGAUCUUUUUCACGCUCGCUGUGGAAAGUGGAUACUGGCAAGUGGAGAUGCACAAGUGGAGUGGACAAGCAGAGUGCAUCCUCAAGAAGAUGAGGAUGUGUGUCAUGGUAGAUGCUAGAUUAGAGUAAUUUAACACGAUGCCAUUUGGACUGUGUUAUGUUUCUUCCACUUGAAGCGGCCAAUCAAAAUGAUUUUAAGGGAACUUUCCUGGAAGACAAGUCUGAUUUAUCUUGAUGACCUUGAUUUGGACAAAAGUUGAGUUCAAAGAAAUUAUACCUGUUUUAAAGGGCUCUGCAGUAUCUGGGUCAUAUCUUUUCCAGUCAAGGACUAGCGGUUAACAAGGGAAGAGACCACAUUGUUUAAGAUUGGCCUACGCACCUAACGUAACCUGAGAUGAAAAAUUUGUACUGGACACGCGCCACCAAUAUUGGCAUAGGUUGUCCCAAACUCAGGAUGGCGAAGAAAAAAAUUUAGUAAGAUCCUGAAUAAAGAGGCUAUAUGAAUUUAAUGUUGAUACUAAACACCUAGCAGGGAGAAUCCAUGGAAACGCGGAUGUCCUAUCAUAAAGACUAUCUAGAAAACUAUAUGUAUUGUCAGCGGACAGAGAAGAAAGAUGCGCAUGUCUUAAUAAUCACCAUCGUCGCCGAUCAUUGGCAAAAUGGGAAUGUGACAUGGGGAAAACUUGAUUUUUUCGGAUUUAACAUAAAUUAAGUUAGCCAGUUUUAUGCUUUGUACGGCAGAGAGUCGGUACGGCAUGACCUGUGAGUGCAGCAAGACCUGUUUACUGCUCCAGCUGAGUAUGUUCUAGCACAUUGUGUUGCUAAGGAUUUGCAAAUAUCAAUAGUUGAGGUUUUCCUCAGAAAGUUCGGAAAAUUUUAAAAGCUGCGUCGGUCUAAUCCCGGAGUCGGGUAAGCACUUAAAAUAACUAACGAAGAUAUUGUUAGAAAGUUUUUUACCUGGUUACCAAAAAAGCAUCACAUCAGAAGCCUAUCUAUAAAGGUGUUUGGGGCGCUUUGUGUUUUCUAAAGGAGAAGUUGCUUGCCGAUAACCUCAGAAGCUGGCAUGCAAAGCCGAAGCUGGUAUACGAAAUCGGUUUAUAGACGUGCAAGUUCUGGUGUGCCGUUAUACCCCUCCACUUCGUUUUCUGGAGAAAUGCGUUGAUUGUUAUUUCUACAAAAGAUCGCCAGAAGGAAAGUUAUCGAAUCUUCCGGAACAAUGAUAGAGUCUAGCUAAUGUAUCAAGUCAGGAUAUUGGCGCAACUUUUAAAUCAAAUUGCCUACUAUUUAUUUUGUUAAAUAAAUAAAAUUUAAAUAAGUG